RNAcentral lists this ribosomal RNA (433 nucleotides) under uncultured bacterium. RNAcentral's name for it is "bacterial SSU rRNA". It matches the Rfam family "Bacterial small subunit ribosomal RNA", at positions 62 to 507 of the family's 1533-position model. The record is from RNAcentral.
UCGAACGGGGUCCAUUCGGUGGCAACACCGAUGAAGAUCUAGUGGCGAACGGGUGCGUAACACGUGAGCAACCUACCCCGAAGACCGGGAUAACACCGGGAAACCGAUGCUAAUACCGGAUGUCCCCAUGAGCCCGCAUGAGCACAUGAGGAAAGGAACCCGCUUUGGGUGGGGCUCGCGGCCUAUCAGCUUGUUGGUGCGGUAACGGCCCACCAAGGCGACGACGGGUAGCUGGUCUGAGAGGACGAUCAGCCACACUGGGACUGAGACACGGCCCAGACUCCUACGGGAGGCAGCAGUAGGGAAUCUUGCGCAAUGGGCGAAAGCCUGACGCAGCAACGCCGCGUGGGGGAUGAAGGCCUUCGGGUUGUAAACUCCUUUCAGCGGGAACGAAAAUGACGGUACCCGCAGAAGAAGCCCCGGCCACUACGUG